GUGUCAGCCGCCGCGGUAAUACGUAGGGUGCGAGCGUUAAUCGGAAUUACUGGGCGUAAAGCGUGCGCAGGCGGCUCACUAAGACAGAUGUGAAAUCCCCGGGCUUAACCUGGGAACUGCGUUUGUGACUGGUGGGCUUGAGUGCGGCAGAGGGGGGUGGAAUUCCACGUGUAGCAGUGAAAUGCGUAGAGAUGUGGAGGAACACCGAUGGCGAAGGCAGCCCCCUGGGUCGACACUGACGCUCAUGCACGAAAGCGUGGGGAGCAAACAGGAUUAGAAACCCUAGUAGUCC
Molecule: ribosomal RNA, 292 nt
Filed under: uncultured bacterium
Lineage: Bacteria
Description: partial 16S ribosomal RNA
Rfam family: Bacterial small subunit ribosomal RNA
Source: RNAcentral